AUGCUUCCAGGACCGCCACCACCUCUUCUUAUGGGAUAUCCCUCUGUGCCGAGCGCGUCACCCUCAGCUGCGCCGUCAUCAUCCAUAGGUGCCAGCAUCGCCAUCAUCGCUAUUGUCAUCAUUGCGUCGACCCUCGUGAUCUUGUGCAUUAAGGUCUUUUGCCGUAGCCCCCGCCCCCCUCGCCCAUCCUGGUCGCCAUUCUCUCGCCGCAGCAGCAUCUCCCGGAGGGCCUCAUCAUUAGGAGAGUCUGACAAGAAGCAUGCAGCGGAGGCAGCUGUUCAUGCUUCCCUGGGGGCCAGUGCUUCGUCUAGAAAGCAUGCAGAAGGUUUGGUGUUUGGGUUGAAGGUCCCUGUGCCAUCUGCGCCCUCUCUACCAGAGGUGGAGCAGGUGAUCUUGGGGUUGCUAUCACAACCCCGCGUGCUGUUGCAGCAGGGGAUGUUCUGCUGCAUCUGUGCCCAAAACUUUGUGCCUAGCGAUAUGAUCCUGUCCCUUCCGGCAUGCUUGCAUAAAUUCCACGAGCGGUGCAUUAUCCCAUGGAUUCGUGGCCAUGCACCUUACUGUUGUCCGUUCUGCGAUGCUUCUAUCACCAUGCCCUGCCCUGACCCUGACAAGACCCACAGCUCAGAUCGCUAUGACGUCGAGGCACAGACAAUGGUUGCGCCAGCUCCACCUGGAGAGGAGGUGGCAGAGGCUGUGGGGGGCUCUCGUGGGUGGCUGCGCUCUUCCCUGGACAGACUCUCGGGCAGCUGGAGGGGAUGCUCCAGCAGUCAUGCCACUGCAGUUGUAGUGCCGGUGUCCUCACGACGUACCACGGGGAGCUGGAGAGUCAACAACUCUGACAAGGAGGACGUAGAGGCUGUUGGCGGCUCUCAUGGGUGGCUAGGCUCUUUUCUGGCUACACUCUCAAGCACCUGGAGUGGACACUCAGACAGCCGUUCCACUACAAUGGUGUCAUCGGUGUCCUCAGGGUGCGCAACUGGAAGCCUGAGCCUGGUACUGAGUGGCUGCGGCAGUGCUGACUUGUGUUCCAGGAGCUGGGAUCCUGAGGCAGCCGUGCAGAAGACGUAG
Molecule: ribosomal RNA, 1068 nt
Filed under: Triticum aestivum (bread wheat)
Lineage: Eukaryota; Viridiplantae; Streptophyta; Magnoliopsida; Poales; Poaceae
Description: partial small subunit ribosomal RNA
Source: RNAcentral